GGGAUAAUACUGACGUUCAUGCUCGAAAGCGUGGGUAGCAAACAGGAUUAGAUACCCUGGUAGUCCACGCCCUAAACGAUGUCAAUUAGCUGUUGGGGCACUUGAUGCCUUAGUAGCGAAGCUAACGCGUGAAAUUGACCGCCUGGGGAGUACGGUCGCAAGAUUAAAACUCAAAGGAAUUGACGGGGACCCGCACAAGCGGUGGAUGAUGUGGAUUAAUUCGGUGCAACGCGAAGAACCUUACCUGGUCUUGACAUGUACGGAAUCUUCCAGAGACGGAAGAGUGCCUUCGGGAGCCGUAACACAGGUGCUGCAUGGCUGUCGUCAGCUCGUGUCGUGAGAUGUUGGGUUNNNNNNNNNANNNANCGCAACCCUUGUCAUUAGUUGCCACCAUUUAGUUGGGCACUCUAAUGAGACUGCCGGUGACAAACCGGAGGAAGGUGGGGAUGACGUCAAGUCCUCAUGGCCCUUAUGACCAGGGCUUCACACGUCAUACAAUGGUCGGUACAGAGGGUAGCCAAGCCGCGAGGUGGAGCCAAUCUCAGAAAACCGAUCGUAGUCCGGAUUGCACUCUGCAACUCGAGNGCAUGAAGUCGGAAUCGCUAGUAAUCGCAGGUCAGCAUACUGCGGNGAAUACGUUCCCGGG
This 646-nucleotide ribosomal RNA is filed under the name uncultured bacterium. RNAcentral describes it as "partial 16S ribosomal RNA". It matches the Rfam family "Bacterial small subunit ribosomal RNA", at positions 731 to 1378 of the family's 1533-position model. The record is from RNAcentral.